CAAGGGGUAGGGAAACAGAGAAUUGCAGCUGUAAUUAACAAUAUUAGAAGAAUUUAAAAGAAAAUGAAUUGAAUAAUUAGUCGACUGAGGAGUUGCUGAAAAAAUAUAAAACAAGGAUGCAGAAAAGGGGAGGUAUGGGGAAGUCCGGAAAGUAAGGUUUAUGAAAAAAUGGUUAUGAAAUUAUACAUGUUUAUAUGUUUGUAUGUCGGUGUAUUGUGUAUUGUUUGUCUUUUUAUUUUGUGUUUGGAAAAUUAAUAAAAAUUUAUUUAAAAAAAAAA
Podarcis lilfordi (Lilford's wall lizard) is the source of this 278-nucleotide non-coding RNA. The record is from the annotation of a GenBank genome assembly. Lineage: Eukaryota; Metazoa; Chordata; Lepidosauria; Squamata; Lacertidae.